CUUAGAGGUAUAGGUGUAGGAUCUUGGGAGGAUCAAGUUACCCCUGGAAUCUGGGAAUAGCAAUUAUUCCUCAGUACCCAAUGUGUUGCUUCUUGUAACUGCAAAGAAUUCCAAAUCUGUCAAUUAUUUGCUGUCUGAGCACUAGCCAAGCAGAGCUUCUUAUCCCCUAUGAGACACCAGAGUCAGUGAAGAUCAGGCCCAGAGAGCCCAGCUGCUAUGCCUAAGGGGAGCAGCAUAAAGUUACCAGGAGAAAAGAAGAAACCCUAAGGCCUUGGAGUUCCAGAGAUGGGAGCUAGCUGUUCUUCUAAUUCAGGUUUGACUGAACCACACCUCCAGAAGAGGACUCUUACCCAGGAUGGGACACUUCCAUUGAAUAUGGCUCCUCCUCAGAAAAACAAAAGACUUUUGAAGAACAAGUGAAAUAAAAGAUGCCUUUGGGUAACAGGGAG
Long non-coding RNA from Sarcophilus harrisii (Tasmanian devil), 449 nucleotides. The record is from Ensembl. NCBI's taxonomy places the organism in Eukaryota, Metazoa, Chordata, Mammalia, Dasyuromorphia, Dasyuridae.